GUGGGGAAUCUUGCGCAAUGGGCGAAAGCCUGACGCAGCCAUGCCGCGUGAAUGAUGAAGGUCUUAGGAUUGUAAAAUUCUUUCACCGGGGACGAUAAUGACGGUACCCGGAGAAGAAGCUCCGGCUAACUUCGUGCCAGCAGCCGCGGUAAUACGAAGGGGGCUAGCGUUGCUCGGAAUUACUGGGCGUAAAGGGCGCGUAGGCGGACAGCUUAGUCAGAGGUGAAAGCCCAGGGCUCAACCUUGGAAUUGCCUUUGAUACUGGCUGUCUUGAGUUUUGGGAGAGGUGAGUGGAACUCCGAGUGUAGAGGUGAAAUUCGUAGAUAUUCGGAAGAACACCAGUGGCGAAGGCGACUCACUGGCCCAAUACUGACGCUGAGGCGCGAAAGCGUGGGGAGCAAACAGGAUUAGAAACCCCAGUAGUCC
Molecule: ribosomal RNA, 426 nt
Filed under: uncultured bacterium
Lineage: Bacteria
Description: partial 16S ribosomal RNA
Rfam family: Bacterial small subunit ribosomal RNA
Source: RNAcentral